RNAcentral lists this small nuclear RNA (31 nucleotides) under Phaeodactylum tricornutum CCAP 1055/1. RNAcentral's name for it is "snRNA PTsRNA00031a". Lineage: Eukaryota; Bacillariophyta; Bacillariophyceae; Surirellales; Neidiaceae. The record is from RNAcentral.
CCGGUAUAGUGUAGGUGGUUAUCAUACGACG